RNAcentral lists this ribosomal RNA (438 nucleotides) under uncultured bacterium. RNAcentral's name for it is "bacterial SSU rRNA". It matches the Rfam family "Bacterial small subunit ribosomal RNA", at positions 338 to 792 of the family's 1533-position model. The record is from RNAcentral.
CCUACGGGAGGCAGCAGUGGGGAAUAUUGCACAAUGGGGGAAACCCUGAUGCAGCGACGCCGCGUGAAGGAAGAAGUAUUUCGGUAUGUAAACUUCUAUCAGCAGGGAAGAAAAAAGACGGUACCUGACUAAGAAGUCCCGGCUAACUACGUGCCAGCAGCCGCGGUAAUACGUAGGGGGCAAGCGUUAUCCGGAUUUACUGGGUGUAAAGGGAGCGUAGGCGGUGCGCCAAGCUGGGUGUGAAAGGCCGGGGCUCAACCCCGGGACUGCACUCGGAACUGGCGGACUAGAGUGUUGGAGAGGUAAGCGGAAUUCCUAGUGUAGCGGUGAAAUGCGUAGAUAUUAGGAGGAACACCAGUGGCGAAGGCGGCUUACUGGACAAUAACUGACGCUGAGGCUCGAAAGCGUGGGGAGCAAACAGGAUUAGAUACCCCAGUA